UCAAGUUUGAAAUCAAAGUGUGAAAAGGUUUAGGACAUAAUGAGGAUGAAUGGAUGAAGAUGGAUUAUAAAACUUCUUAGAAGGUUCACCUCUUGAAAUCAUAUAGAAGAUGAUUCAAGUGUGUCCUUUGGAAUGGGCAAUGAAUAAUAACAAACAAACAAAGAAGAAAGUCAACAAAAGCGGAUACCGGGAGAUGUUGGAGCUGGCAGAUCAGGCAUAAAGCCUG
Molecule: long non-coding RNA, 226 nt
Filed under: Lathyrus oleraceus (garden pea)
Lineage: Eukaryota; Viridiplantae; Streptophyta; Magnoliopsida; Fabales; Fabaceae
Description: Pisum sativum (pea) long non-coding RNA (PSAT_LNC006257)
Source: RNAcentral